RNAcentral lists this ribosomal RNA (575 nucleotides) under Campylobacter coli. RNAcentral's name for it is "partial 23S ribosomal RNA". It matches the Rfam family "Bacterial large subunit ribosomal RNA", at positions 1 to 587 of the family's 2925-position model. The record is from RNAcentral. Lineage: Bacteria; Pseudomonadati; Campylobacterota; Epsilonproteobacteria; Campylobacterales; Campylobacteraceae.
AAAGGUAAGCUACUAAGAGCGAAUGGUGGAUGCCUUGACUGGUAAAGGCGAUGAAGGACGUACUAGACUGCGAUAAGCUACGGGGAGCUGUCAAGAAGCUUUGAUCCGUAGAUUUCCGAAUGGGGCAACCCAAUGUAUAGAGAUAUACAUUACCUAUAUAGGAGCGAACGAGGGGAAUUGAAACAUCUUAGUACCCUCAGGAAAAGAAAUCAAUAGAGAUUGCGUCAGUAGCGGCGAGCGAAAGCGUAAGAGGGCAAACCCAGUGCUUGCACUGGGGGUUGUAGGACUGCAAUGUGCAAGAGGUGAGUUUAGCAGAACAUUCUGGAAAGUAUAGCCAUAGAGGGUGAUAGUCCCGUAUGCGAAAAACAAACCUUAGCUAGCAGUAUCCUGAGUAGGGCGGGACACGAGAAAUCCUGUCUGAAGCUGGGUCGACCACGAUCCAACCCUAAAUACUAAUACCAGAUCGAUAGUGCACAAGUACCGUGAGGGAAAGGUGAAAAGAACUGAGGUGAUCAGAGUGAAAUAGAACCUGAAACCAUUUGCUUACAAUCAUUCAGAGCACUAUGUAGCAAUAC